Long non-coding RNA from Neopsephotus bourkii (Bourke's parrot), 1202 nucleotides. RefSeq lists it as uncharacterized. The transcript is spliced from 3 exons. The record is from RefSeq and is a predicted model, not a curated record. Lineage: Eukaryota; Metazoa; Chordata; Aves; Psittaciformes; Psittacidae.
CCUCCCAUAGCUACGCCCCGAGGGGGGCGCCCACCUGCCGGCGGGCCGGCCUCCGUGACAGCCUUGCUCAAGCCCGGCCCCCCUGGCCAGCCGGGCCCUAAUGGUCGCCCGGGUCCCCGUCGUCCAAGUGGGUUGGGACCGGAGAAAUCGGCUUUUCCCCGCCGCCCCAGCCGUACGUCAGAAGCGGAGCUGUGCCGCGGGGAGGGCUGGCUCAGGGCGGCGUUGGCAAAGAGGGGUCGCUCCCUGAAAGUACCUGUUAAAGGCUUGUCCUCUGUGCGGAGGGUGAACCCGCAAGGCUCUGUUAAUUAUAUUUUCAUUUUGGUAGGGUGGCCCUGGUUUAUUUGUGUGUUGGAUUUUCAAAUUCUACUUUGCUUUUGAUUUUCAAAAGUUUUUGUCGAAGUAGUAUUGGUGUGACUCUCGGAUAUUUACGAUACCAAAAAAGAAAGGAAGAAAAUUUGAUAUAAAUAGACACAUUUUGUUGUUUGCUUUUUUAGGGUGGGGAAGUGGAAUUUAGUUUAAGUUUGAUUUAGAAACUCUACUGCAGUUUUCCCAAGCCAGAUCCUGAGCCAGGGUGCUCCCAGCAAUGACAACCAUAACCUUGGUAUAACUGAGCCAAAAAGAGAAGUGUUUUCCCCUUAGUCAAAGUGAAUGACAUACAUGAAGCUUGUAUGCUGGGGAGCAGAUAGACAAGAAACCAGGGAUGGUCAAAGAAGGAAGCUUUUGGAGAGAAGAGGCAUCACCUGGGUCUAUUGGAAGAGAAAACUUUGUGCAAUGUUGUCCCAUUAAAGAGAUUGAACCAGGCAGAGAUCACCCAGAACAGAUUUCAGAUUACCUUUUCAGACUUGGUUUGGGUUGUUUUAUUUAGGAUGGUUUAUAAAUAAUACAAGCUUCUACAUUUGAAAUACAUAUGGAUGUAUCUCACCACCGCUGUCUUCACAAGCAUGGUUUAUUUUAUACACAGAUGAAAUGGAAGAUAUAUAAAGGAAAAAAAAACCCACAAAAAAGAGAGGUGGUUUGUGUUUGUCUAAAUGCAGGGUUAAUGUUGAAACACAUUUUGUUUCUUUCUCACUGACACUUGGAACUGGCCCAAACUCCUCGAUCCUUGGCAAAGCAGACACUGUUCUACAGAUAAAAACCUAAUUAAACUGAGUGCUACCUGUGGCAAGGACGUUUAGAAAUUCAUAGAGUUCAAGCAACCAAAA